GACGAACGCUGGCGGCGUGCUUAACACAUGCAAGUCGUACGGGAAGGCCCUUUCGGGGGUCCACGAGUGGCGAACGGGUGAGUAACACGUGCGUAACCUGCCCACAACUUUGGGAUAACGCUAGGAAACUGGUGCUAAUCCUGGAUAUGUGCCCCUGCUGCAUGGUGGGGGUUGGAAAGCUGAGGCGGUUGUGGAUGGACUCGCGGCCUAUCAGCUUGUUGGUGGGGUAGUGGCCUACAGAGGCGGCGCCGGGUAGCCGGCGCGGGAGGGUGACCGGCCACAGUGGGACUGGGAUACGGCCCAGACUCCGACGGGUAGCAGCGGUGGGGAAUAGUGCACAAAGGGCGCAAGCCAGAUGCAGCAACGCCGCGGGCGGGAGGACGGCCUUCGGGUUGGAAACCGAGUUCAGCAGGGACGAAGCUGUUUGUGACGGUACCUGCAGAAGAAGCACCGGCUAACUACGUG
This 465-nucleotide ribosomal RNA is filed under the name uncultured bacterium. Its description in RNAcentral is "partial 16S ribosomal RNA". It matches the Rfam family "Bacterial small subunit ribosomal RNA", at positions 28 to 507 of the family's 1533-position model. The record is from RNAcentral.